CCCUUAGAUGUCCUGGGCCGCACGCGCGUUACACUGAUGCAUUCAACGAGCUUAUAACCUUGGCCGAGAGGCCUGGGCAAUCUUGUUAACGUGCAUCGUGAUAGGGAUAGAUUAUUGAAAUUAUUAAUCUUGAACGAGGAAUUCCUAGUAAACGCAGAUCAUCAAUCUGCAUUGAUUACGUCCCUGCCCUUUGUACACACCGCCCGUCGCACCUACCGAUUGAAUGGUCCGGUGAAAUCUUCGGAUCUGAGAGAUGUCUGAUUAAUUUCGGACGCCUUUUGGAAAAGUUGCUUAAACCUUACCAUUUAGAGGAAGGUGAAGUCGUAACA
This 329-nucleotide ribosomal RNA is filed under the name uncultured eukaryote. RNAcentral's name for it is "partial 18S ribosomal RNA". It matches the Rfam family "Eukaryotic small subunit ribosomal RNA", at positions 1470 to 1796 of the family's 1831-position model. The record is from RNAcentral.